RNAcentral lists this ribosomal RNA (797 nucleotides) under uncultured Actinomycetes bacterium. Its description in RNAcentral is "bacterial SSU rRNA". It matches the Rfam family "Bacterial small subunit ribosomal RNA", at positions 72 to 882 of the family's 1533-position model. The record is from RNAcentral. Lineage: Bacteria; Bacillati; Actinomycetota; Actinomycetes.
CCUGCAGCUUGCUGCGGGUACUCGAGUGGCGAACGGGUGAGUAACACGUGGGUGAUCUGCCUUGCACUUCGGGAUAAGCUUGGGAAACUGGGUCUAAUACCGGAUAGGACAGCUGUUUAGUGUCAGUUGUGGAAAGUUUUUUCGGUGCAAGAUGAGCUCGCGGCCUAUCAGCUUGUUGGUGGGGUAAUGGCCUACCAAGGCGUCGACGGGUAGCCGGCCUGAGAGGGUGUACGGCCACAUUGGGACUGAGAUACGGCCCAGACUCCUACGGGAGGCAGCAGUGGGGAAUAUUGCACAAUGGGCGGAAGCCUGAUGCAGCGACGCCGCGUGGGGGAUGAAGGCCUUCGGGUUGUAAACUCCUUUCGACAGGGACGAAGCGUAAGUGACGGUACCUGUAUAAGAAGCACCGGCUAACUACGUGCCAGCAGCCGCGGUAAUACGUAGGGUGCGAGCGUUGUCCGGAAUUACUGGGCGUAAAGAGCUCGUAGGUGGUUUGUCGCGUCGUCUGUGAAAUUCCGGGGCUUAACUCCGGGCGUGCAGGCGAUACGGGCUGACUUGAGUGCUGUAGGGGAGACUGGAAUUCCUGGUGUAGCGGUGAAAUGCGCAGAUAUCAGGAGGAACACCGAUGGCGAAGGCAGGUCUCUGGGCAGUAACUGACGCUGAGGAGCGAAAGCAUGGGUAGCGAACAGGAUUAGAUACCCUGGUAGUCCAUGCCGUAAACGGUGGGCGCUAGGUGUAGGGGGCUUCCACGUCUUCUGUGCCGUAGCUAACGCAUUAAGCGCCCCGCCUGGGGAGUA